This 498-nucleotide long non-coding RNA is filed under the name Nicotiana benthamiana. Its description in RNAcentral is "long non-coding RNA (NBEN_LNC041174)". The record is from RNAcentral. Lineage: Eukaryota; Viridiplantae; Streptophyta; Magnoliopsida; Solanales; Solanaceae.
UGCACUUGAUUUAUACGGCAAUUAGGUAUAUUUUUUUUUUGAGUUCGGGCCACGGGUGUUAACUUCCUUCAUGAACCGUAAAAGUUUGUUCUUGAACAGGUUGUUCUCGUUGUUGAGACGUGAUCCACUUCCUCCAGCCCCCUAGGGACCGACUUCACUCCGAGGCGUAUUAUUGUCGACUCUCUGCAUUUUUCAGUUUGUGGGGACAUCGAGAGGAAGGGGAUCUCGCCUGUUUGCAUCAUUCAAAGCCCUCGACAGUGCCUAUUUCAACUCCGUCAUAACCUUAUCCUACCGCGUGAGGUGGACUAGAAUAAUCGCAUGUUGCUCUUGCUUUACCACAUCGACGACAUGCUCUUCAUCAUCUGUAUCAUCGGGAGUUUCCAAAUAUGUCAGAGGAUAGUACAUGUCAUACACUGGCGAGGCAUCAUUCUCUUUGUUAUGGGUGUCACUAAUUGAAUCCUCAAAAUGAGGUUGAACCCCUCGAAUUCAGGAUUGUGA